This is a long non-coding RNA of Lolium perenne, 2642 nucleotides long. RefSeq lists it as uncharacterized. NCBI's taxonomy places the organism in Eukaryota, Viridiplantae, Streptophyta, Magnoliopsida, Poales, Poaceae. The record is from RefSeq and is a predicted model, not a curated record.
UUUAAUCCCCACCGAGGAUGAGCCCUGGAAACCCUAGCCUUUCUCCCUCCCUUGCGCCGCCACCGUCUUCCUCUUCCCUCGUUCAUUUUUUUUUCUUUUUCUCUGUUCUGUGUGAGGAACGAGCAACACACCGCACUUUCCCCGCCAUGGCGUCGCCGCUCCACACCAUCCCCCGCCGUUCUGAGGGCACCGUUAGAUGCGCCUCGUCGCCCUCUCCAACCUCAUGCGAGGAAUUGAACCGGAACCUCUCCAAUCGCCCACAAAAUCGCCGAUUCCCUCUCCGACGCCGACGAGAUAAUCCUCGAUUCCGGCUACUCCAGUCCAUCUCCGGCCUCCCCGACCUCUCCAUGACCAUCCUGGUGCUCGACCCUGGCGGUGCUUCGGUGAUCGCAUGAACUCUAUGUCGACCAUUUCAGGUUCAGCGCGGCGACGCGCACGCCUGACGCCCUCCCCCUCGUCCCGUCUCGGUCGUAAUCACUAGGGCCGUGCUCCACAGGUGUUUCCGCCAUGGCCAUGUUGGUGAAGAUCAAACCCAUCGGCCCAAGUUCGAAUCCCACCGGUGCGUUGAACUUGUUUUUGGAUUUUCGGAUGAGCCCACUGACUCGACAUCUACUUCAAAUUAACCGGCGCAUCCAUCCUGUCAAGGUAGAAUCAGUAGGCCAACUGGUUCGGCCCUUAUUCCUUCAUCCAUGAGAUCCGGUGUUCAAAUCCUGAUGGAGGCCAUUUUAAUCCUGAACCUUUUUUUUUUCUGCUCCCCAGAUCCACGCAUGGGCCUCGGCCAGAUCCGUCAGGCAGUCCAGCCCACGCGCGUCGUCCUUCCUUCUGCUGGCCAGCAUUUGCUUCUUCCCGGAUAGGAUCACGAAGUGUUGAUGUGAGAUACGACGAGUUCUCCGACAAGUUCUUCUGCAUCUUUUCACAGGCGAGCCCUCUCUCUUCACCUAUUUUACUCUCUCCCUCGCACUGCUAUCCUUAUGUUGCGAUUCUUUAUCGAGUCACGUGUCCUAUUCCACUUCUUACCAUAAUAAUCCUAUAUGCACCAUUCCUUAUCCAUAGCCGUUGCUUGAUGUUUGAGCCUUGCGAGUCGUAGGCGUGUUUAGGCUCUGUUGUUUAUCUCGAUCUGAUAUCGGGAUAUGUUGGGUUGUUGGGAGGUUAUCACAUGCUAUAUCAGUUGUUGGAGAUACACAUGCUUUACUUAAUUGUUAACAACUAAAACUGUAAGCACAUGCAUCUGUGAGCCCCUUUGCGAAAGCAUCGAAACUUUGACUCACUAAUGUCCCCUAGGACCCGAGUUCUUGUUAUCUGUUCCGAGACUGAGCGCUCUAACCACACGUGGGUAUGCUUACCGGGUCUCCCCUCGACCACUGCCGGAAUCUACAGCUUUGUCCAGUGGACACAACUAGUUUGAAUGUUUGUUUGAUUCUCCCGGGCGUGCAAGCAUGUUUCUUUGUGGUCAGAUGAUAUGAUGUUACUUUUGGGGAAGCCAUGUUGCCUUGUAACCCCGUUGUCUCUUGCACGCUCGUAGGCGCGGUACGUAUUGCUGAAGAUGGAUUCACCCUGCGGGCACUGUUUCCAUCCGAAAGCCGUAGACGCAAACAGCUAAGUCCGCUUCGGAGCACGGCCGGACUUCGAUACGGGUUAACUUAGUUAGGUGACUUCCUGGAUAUUGUUGUCGUGAACGAGAGUGCGAGUCGUGAUAUCCACCUGUCGCAAGUGGGUUGAGCGUGCGUGUGGGCACAUUUGGGCACCCCUGCAGGGUUACAAUCUUAUCGAUAAGCCGCGUCCGCGGUUAUGGACGACUUGGAAUUGUAUGACUCGAUCAUAGACAACUUACACCUUUUUACUUGUUGUUAAUAAUCUGAUAAUAACUUGGGUAGUAAUAUAGCAUUACUACAAUCGAUACCUAAUAAAACUUGUCCACCGUUGAGUGCCUUUUACAUUGCCUCUUCGCUUUGUUGAAGGGGAUAUGUGUAAUCGGUUGGGUUAUGUUUGUGUAGUAUUUAUCUGUUACCUUGUGCGCUCUCUUAUCUUCUCUAAUUAGACGGAUGUUGUAGCGUGUCUCUAUUGGUUAUAGUUUUGCUGCCGCUAAACCUACCAUAUAGCCCCAGGCGAUAUAUAUUUAUACUCGCCCGGCGAGCAUAGCUAUUUCUAGUCUCGCUAAGUACGUACCGGAGUUCAUUCCUUGGUACUUACUCUCGCCUUUCCUUUUUCUCUUUUGCUUCCUCCCUUUUGUCGGCAACCGAUGGCCCGACUUUGACAGGUACGAGAUGAUGACGUUAGCAAGGUUACCCUUCCGGCUUGGCCUGGGCAGGGUUAUGGACGCCACUGGUUAUCUUCAGGACUCUUAGUCCAAUUUGUAUCUUGUCCGUACUCGGACGUAUUCGAUCUUCUGUAUGAUUCGGAUCUUUGUGCUGUAUAUUUGUAUCUUGACUCGUUGGAGUCGUUGUUGUAAUAUAUGUAUCUUGUGGGCUCUAUUGUAAUCCUGUUGUAAUGUUACCGCUCGUGUUAAUUCCUCUGGCAUCACGUGUGUGAUUCGUCGCGCACGUCUUGUCGAAGGGCGUCUCAGAAUCGAUAUCGUGCGGAUUUCGGCUGGAUCGCUGGAAUCCUCAGGAUACCGGUUUCGGGGCGUCACAGCUUGUAUUGCA